Molecule: RNA transcript, 1461 nt
Organism: Solenopsis invicta (red fire ant)
Lineage: Eukaryota; Metazoa; Arthropoda; Insecta; Hymenoptera; Formicidae
Gene name: trihelix transcription factor GTL1
Exons: 6
Source: RefSeq, a predicted model, not a curated record
GAUUUCUUUUAGAUCUUUAUAUUCUUUUAGAUAAGAAAUGUCCUUUUAAAAAUUGCAAGACAUCUCAAGACAUAGCAAGACGUCUUUUAGAAAUCUAAAGACAUCAUUUUGUUUAUUUGGGUAUACAUUGUUUUGUAUAUUGUUUUAUUUAUUAAAAUUCUAUAAUCAGGAUUAAUUCGGAUGAAAGAAAAUGGCAGAGAGAAAAGAACGCGUUCAGUUUCUUGACGCCGAAUCCAAUGAAUUAUAUGAGUGCUUUUUAUCCCCCGAAGAUGCUCGGCGAGUAUCAGCAGAUAUGAUAUUUGCCCAGCACGUCUUCAACGGAUUAAUUCGUGAGAAACUAACAAAAAGAAAUUCUAAUGAAAGCGAGACUUCACCAGCGCAUGAAGCCACUGCAGAUAAUACUGAUAAUACAGUUCGUGAAGGAAUAACCUGGACACACGAGCAAACAUUGCUGUUAAUUACUACAUAUCGGCAAGAAUAUUCAAAGAUGGGCAAUGGUAAAUUACUCUUGCGAAAGUUGUGGCAGCUGGUUGCCGAAAAGAUGAAAGAGAAUGAUCACAACAUUCCAGCAACCAAAUGCGCCACAAAAAUGGAUACCCUAAAACGGCAAUAUAAAAAAGUGUUAGACCACAAUAAACAAUCUAGCAACGAUUUAAUGACGUAUAAGUAUUUUGAUGAACUAGACGAGAUUUUCAGAAAACAACCUUGGGUGAAACCGGUUGCGAUUGCAAGCUCUGAAUUGCAAGAUAAAACGUUCGAAAAUAUAGAUGAGCGUAACUCGUCCUCAGGUAACACGCAGGAUCAAAACGUAAAAGAAUUCUAGAAGAUAUUUUAGAAGAGAGAAAAAAUAAAGGAGCGAAAACAGAAGAGUACAGAAACGAGAAACUUGGGCUUAUGAAGGAGCUGAUUGAGAUAUUAAAAAAAAAGCAAUGAAGAUGCAGAUGAUAAAAAAAGCGGGUUAUCCUGCGCAAGCCCACUUUGUACUGACAAAGGACGGUUAUCUCUUAACACUACAUCGUAUCUCAGGAGACAAUAAACCACUUAUGUUACUGCAACACGAUCUUUUGUUCAACACGGUCUCUGUUGAUUGAAUUAUUUCUGGGAAUCACUUGGUAUCACCUUAAUUAAAUUGAGAAAUUGCUGCUUUAUUUUUUUUUCUAAGAUAUCUUCUUCUAGAAUUACGUUUCUUUCAUGCUUUAAUCCUUCAUCUAUAAUAAAAGUUUUAUACUUUGUACGUAUAAAACAAGCAUAGUUGUAAUUUAGGAUAACACGAAAAGAACAAUACUGUGAUUUUAAAAAUAAACUAGGAGCUUUAGUAUAAAACUGAAAAUGUACGUGUGCGUGCGUCAUCGAUUUAGUUUAUAGUUAUUGCUAUAUCAAUAUCGCACGCAUACAUAGCUCAAUUUAACUGGUGAAACUAACGUCGCUGAUUUUCUUAAGUGUGUGUAUUUAAGUAAAUAU